Long non-coding RNA from Bactrocera neohumeralis, 663 nucleotides. RefSeq lists it as uncharacterized. The transcript has 2 exons. Lineage: Eukaryota; Metazoa; Arthropoda; Insecta; Diptera; Tephritidae. The record is from RefSeq and is a predicted model, not a curated record.
UACUCGAUGGAAUUUCCAUUAUACAUAUAACAUAUGUACAUAUAUACAUACAUACAUACAUGUACAUAUAUACAAACAUACGUAUUUGAAAUAGAACAAAAGUGCACUAGUAAAUCAGUGUUUAGGAGAUGAUUUACAAACCAAAGUCUGUCGAUCAUUUCAAUAAUUGAAGCAUGAGUUUGCAUCACUUAUUUUUCUGCUGAUACGAACGUUCAUAAACAAAUCAGGUAUAAGCUGAUCGCUAGUGAUUCAAAGUUGUUCUCUAUCGCUGAUUUGAAGAUAAACAGUGCGCUUCGUGUACACGAACUGAACUGACAGAAUCAGACAGAGUAACGGAUCAGUACUUAAGUGAUACAAACAACCGUUAGGUGAAUAAAACUAUUUUAUUCCGUAGAAACAUGUUGCAAGAGUACAGAAUUAAAGUUCGAAUUGUUGGCGCAUCCACCGUAUUCACCAAAUUUGGCCCCCAGCGCUUACAUUUGUUUCCAGAACUCAAAAAAUGUAUGCGUGGCAAGCGUUUUUUCAUCAAAUGAAGAGGUCAUAACUUCUGUUGAAGCUUAUUUUGAAGACCUUCCGGAUUCUCACUUUAGGGAUGGGAUCCACAAGUGUAUUAAUGUUCAGGGAGAUUAUACUAAAUAAUAAAGUGUAUUUUGAAUCAUAAAA